Molecule: non-coding RNA, 90 nt
Filed under: Dialister micraerophilus
Lineage: Bacteria; Bacillati; Bacillota; Negativicutes; Veillonellales; Veillonellaceae
Also listed under: 1 other name
Description: Glycine sequence
Rfam family: Glycine riboswitch aptamer
About the family: This family represents the bacterial glycine riboswitch. Glycine riboswitches usually consist of two metabolite-binding aptamers domains with similar structures in tandem.
Source: RNAcentral
GGACACGUCUCUGGAGAGUCCCGACGGGCGCCGAAGGUGUAAAGGGUCGUAAGGCUUUAAUCUCUCAGGCAAAAGGACAGAGCAAUUUAC